This 231-nucleotide long non-coding RNA is filed under the name Drosophila guanche. Lineage: Eukaryota; Metazoa; Arthropoda; Insecta; Diptera; Drosophilidae. The record is from RNAcentral.
GGGCAAAGCAAACCGAAAUCUGGCAUGGGAUACAAUUAAUAAUGGAAACUGUGUGUAAAAACAAGACAUACAUUAACACCAACAACGACUGAACUGACAGAGCGGAGCAGACACAGCAACAAACACGAAGCAAGAGCCAGCAGCUGGCAAAGAGGAAGAAGAAUGCUGUCAGGGGGAGAGAGACGAAAAACCUAGCGUAUCAAAAUGCAACCCACAAUGACACAAACACAC